This 406-nucleotide ribosomal RNA is filed under the name uncultured bacterium. RNAcentral's name for it is "partial 16S ribosomal RNA". It matches the Rfam family "Bacterial small subunit ribosomal RNA", at positions 28 to 526 of the family's 1533-position model. The record is from RNAcentral.
GAUGAACGCUAGCUACAGGCUUAACACAUGCAAGUCGAGGGAACGGCGCACGGGUGAGUAACACGUAUCCAACCUGCCCUUUACUCGGGGAUAGCCUUUCGAAAGAAAGAUUAAUACCCGAUAUAAAGGAUGGGGAUGCGUUCCAUUAGGUUGUUGGUGAGGUAACGGCUCACCAAGCCUUCGAUGGAUAGGGGUUCUGAGAGGAAGGUACACCACAUUUGAACUGAGACACGGUCCAAAAUCCUAGGGGAGGCAGCGGUGAGGAAGAUUGGUAAAUGGACGCUAGCCGGAACCAGCCAAGUAGCGUGAAGGAUGAAGGGGUAUGGGUGGUAAACUUCUUGUAUAUAAGAAUAUGUAUUAUAUGAAUAAGGAUCGGCUAACGCCGUGCCAGCAGCCGCGGUAAUAC